Molecule: non-coding RNA, 124 nt
Organism: Pelobates cultripes (western spadefoot toad)
Lineage: Eukaryota; Metazoa; Chordata; Amphibia; Anura; Pelobatidae
Source: the annotation of a GenBank genome assembly
UAGCAGCAAAAAAGUCUCUCUCUCUCUCUCUCUCUCUCUCUCUCUCUCUCUCUAUAUAUAUAUAUAUAUAGAGAGAGAGAGAGAGAGAGAGAGAGAGAGAGAGAGAGAGAGAUAGAUAGAUAGA